Molecule: long non-coding RNA, 1288 nt
Filed under: Rattus norvegicus (Norway rat)
Lineage: Eukaryota; Metazoa; Chordata; Mammalia; Rodentia; Muridae
Description: long non-coding RNA NONRATT022806
Source: RNAcentral
GGUGGGAGAGGACUCUAAGAAAAACAAGAACAAGAAAGGAAUUUCUGCUUUUAGUGACCAGACCUUCAACUCUUGCUCACAGAAAGAGGGUGCUCAUUAAGAGAAGUUCUUUAAGGAGCCUGCCUUAUCUGCUGGCCCUAUUCCAAGAGAGGAGCCAGUCUCCAGCAUUAAAUUACUUUUCUCACUGGUCAUCAUUAGCAUGGAGAAUGCCUUUGAUCCUAUCCCCACAGCAGCCAGUUCCUGCCCCUGUGGUAGAAAUGUCCCAGGUUGGGGGGCAGAGAAGCCCCUAAAAUAGUUUCAAAGAAUCUACAACAAACUGUAAAGAACUUUGUUUUGUUUUGCCAGUUUGAAUUUAGAAUUCAGGCUUUGGCUGUGGCCGAGGUCAGGAUUAAUGUUUUCGUUUCCAUGGGCCCUUAGCCCACUGAGACAGUUUGGUAAAGGACUACUACUACAGUCCUGAUAUUCAGAGACAUGGAGAGAGCUAUAGUUUUUUUUAUUAAAGGUUGGUACUAUAGUAUUAACAAUCUCUUUAUUAGAUAUAAGAGACAAGAAGCCCCAGGUGAACUGGUUACAAUUCUUUUGUCAGCUGCUUAGUAUCUAACACUCAGGUUCUAUCGUCUCUCCAUCCUUUUAUUAUUAGUUGUUACUGAAAGCCUAGUGCCAUUUAGAGGAUGGGUCUCUUGAGUGAUAAAGCCACUGAGCUGGCACUAAAGGAAGGUACUCCUUAAGGGAAAAUCUAAGUCCAGAGAGACAACCGGUAACAGAUAGACUGCCCCUCUGCUCACUUUUCUGUUUCACAGACACAAGGUCUUUUUGUCCCAAGAAAGCCUCCUGGCUUAGCUGUGUGACUAAAUGCUAUUUGCCCUCUUCAGUGGACCUCUAUUCUCAAGAUUCUCUUGUUUUCUCACCAUCCCAUUUGAGAUGCUUGUUAGUAACUGUUACAGGUCUUCUUUACCACCGAGGAAAGACAAAAUCCUACUAGAGGCCAGAAAAAGUGUUCCAGAGAUGGAUGGAAGGCCCUCACUUCUGCCUGCUCUUUUCAGACGCCUAAAGGUAGGGAGUGCCAGGUCUGCCGCCAGGCUCCAAGGGUGGGUCUCUGAGGGGCUAAAAAAUGCCCCACCAAUCUGGCUAAGAUAAAGAAAGGAUAUGAAGAAAAAGUUACAAAAAUUUAAAGGGUUAAGUUAAGUUGCUGAGAGUUAGUACAAGUUACAGAGAAAGAGGUAAAAAGAACAGAAAGCUAAAAAAAAAAAAGAGACAAAAAGAAGAGGAAGUUAGAGAGAUAAAGAGA